Molecule: unclassified non-coding RNA, 390 nt
Filed under: soil metagenome
Description: partial contains 5.8S ribosomal RNA, internal transcribed spacer 2, and large subunit ribosomal RNA
Rfam family: 5.8S ribosomal RNA (bases 4-121)
Source: RNAcentral
GAUAAGAACGUAGCGAAAUGCGAUACUUGGUGUGAAUUGCAGAAUCCCGUGAACCAUCGAGUCUUUGAACGCAAGUUGCGCCCGAAGCCAUUAGGCCGAGGGCACGCCUGCCUGGGCGUCACACGUUGUUGCCCCCCCAUCUACUCCUUCGGGAUUGCGGGGGGCGGAUGAUGGCCUCCCGUGCGCCUCGUCGCGCGGUUGGCAUAAAUGCCAAGUCCUCGGCGACGCACGCCACGACAAUCGGUGGUUGCGAAACCUCGGUUGCCCGUCGUGUGCGGUCGUCGCGCAUCGAGGGCUCGAAAAAAUUGUCGGGCUCCGGCUCGGCUUUCAACGCGACCCCAGGUCAGGCGGGGUUACCCGCUGAAUUUAAGCAUAUCAAUAAGCGGAGGA